Molecule: ribosomal RNA, 252 nt
Filed under: uncultured bacterium
Lineage: Bacteria
Description: partial 16S ribosomal RNA
Rfam family: Bacterial small subunit ribosomal RNA
Source: RNAcentral
UACGUAGGAUGCAAGCGUUGUCCGGAAUUAUUGGGCGUAAAGGGCACGCAGGCGGUGCGGUCAGUCAGUUGUGAAAUCUCCCGGCUCAACUGGGAGGGGUCAAUUGAUACUGCCGUACUUGAGGACAGAAGAGGAAAGUGGAAUUCCCGGUGUAGUGGUGAAAUGCGUAGAUAUCGGGAGGAACACCAAUGGCGGAAGCAGCUUUCUGGUCUGUUUCUGACGCCGAGGUGCGAAGGCUAGGGGAGCAAACAG